RNAcentral lists this unclassified non-coding RNA (337 nucleotides) under soil metagenome. Its description in RNAcentral is "partial contains 5.8S ribosomal RNA, internal transcribed spacer 2, and large subunit ribosomal RNA". The stretch from base 1 to 120 matches the Rfam family "5.8S ribosomal RNA", at positions 35 to 154 of the family's 154-position model. The record is from RNAcentral.
GAUGAAGAACGUAGCGAAAUGCGAUAAGUAGUGUGAAUUGCAGAAUUCAGUGAAUCAUCGAAUCUUUGAACGCACAUUGCGCCCCUUGGUAUUCCAUGGGGCAUGCCUGUUCGAGCGUCAUUUGUACCCUCAAGCUAAGCUUGGUGUUGGGUGUUUGUCCACUCCCUCGUGUUUGGACUCGCCUUAAAACAAUUGGCAGCCAGUGUUUUGGUAUUGAAGCGCAGCACAAUUUGCGAUUCUAGCCUAGAAUACUAGCAUCCAUCAAGUCAUUUUUAACGCUUGUCCUCGGAUCAGGUAGGGAUACCCGCUGAACUUAAGCAUAUCAAUAAGCGGAGGA